RNAcentral lists this ribosomal RNA (479 nucleotides) under uncultured organism. Its description in RNAcentral is "partial 16S ribosomal RNA". It matches the Rfam family "Bacterial small subunit ribosomal RNA", at positions 331 to 801 of the family's 1533-position model. The record is from RNAcentral.
GUACACUCCUACGGGAGGCAGCAGUGGGGAAUUUUGGACAAUGGGCGAAAGCCUGAUCCAGCAAUGCCGCGUGAGUGAAGAAGGCCUUCGGGUUGUAAAGCUCUUUUGUCAGGGAAGAAACGGUGAAAGCUAAUAUCUUUUGCUAAUGACGGUACCUGAAGAAUAAGCACCGGCUAACUACGUGCCAGCAGCCGCGGUAAUACGUAGGGUGCAAGCGUUAAUCGGAAUUACUGGGCGUAAAGCGUGCGCAGGCGGUUUUGUAAGUCUGAUGUGAAAUCCCCGGGCUCAACCUGGGAAUUGCAUUGGAGACUGCAAGGCUAGAAUCUGGCAGAGGGGGGUAGAAUUCCACGUGUAGCAGUGAAAUGCGUAGAUAUGUGGAGGAACACCGAUGGCGAAGGCAGCCCCCUGGGUCAAGAUUGACGCUCAUGCACGAAAGCGUGGGGAGCAAACAGGAUUAGAAACCCUAGUAGUCCCAUGAU